ACGAACGCUGGCGGCGUGCCUAAUACAUGCAAGUCGAACGCACUCUCGUUUAGAUUGAAGGAGCUUGCUCCUGAUUGAUAAACAUUUGAGUGAGUGGCGGACGGGUGAGUAACACGUGGGUAACCUGCCCUAAAGUGGGGGAUAACAUUUGGAAACAGAUGCUAAUACCGCAUAAAACCUAACACCGCAUGGUGUAGGGUUGAAAGAUGGUUUCGGCUAUCACUUUAGGAUGGACCCGCGGUGCAUUAGUUAGUUGGUGAGGUAAAGGCUCACCAAGACCGUGAUGCAUAGCCGACCUGAGAGGGUAAUCGGCCACACUGGGACUGAGACACGGCCCAGACUCCUACGGGAGGCAGCAGUAGGGAAUCUUCCACAAUGGACGAAAGUCUGAUGGAGCAACGCCGCGUGAGUGAAGAAGGUUUUCGGAUCGUAAAACUCUGUUGUUGGAGAAGAAUGUAUCUGAUAGUAACUGAUCAGGUAGUGACGGUAUCCAACCAGAAAGCCACGGCUAACUACGUGCCAGCAGCCGCGGUAAUACGUAGGUGGCAAGCGUUGUCCGGAUUUAUUGGGCGUAAAGCGAGCGCAGGCGGUUUCUUAAGUCUGAUGUGAAAGCCUUCGGCUCAACCGAAGAAGUGCAUCGGAAACUGGGAAACUUGAGUGCAGAAGAGGACAGUGGAACUCCAUGUGUAGCGGUGAAAUGC
This 701-nucleotide ribosomal RNA is filed under the name uncultured Lactobacillus sp. RNAcentral's name for it is "bacterial SSU rRNA". It matches the Rfam family "Bacterial small subunit ribosomal RNA", at positions 29 to 689 of the family's 1533-position model. The record is from RNAcentral. Lineage: Bacteria; Bacillati; Bacillota; Bacilli; Lactobacillales; Lactobacillaceae.